This 253-nucleotide ribosomal RNA is filed under the name uncultured prokaryote. RNAcentral describes it as "partial 16S ribosomal RNA". It matches the Rfam family "Bacterial small subunit ribosomal RNA", at positions 524 to 776 of the family's 1533-position model. The record is from RNAcentral.
UACGGAGGGGGCGAGCGUUAUUCGGAAUUAUUGGGCGUAAAGGGCGCGUAGGCGGCCUGAUAAGUCAAAGGUGAAAUCCCUCGGCUCAACUGAGGAAUUGCCUUUGAAACUGUCAGGCUUGAGGCCGGGAGGGGGUGGCGGAAUUCCCAGUGUAGCGGUGAAAUGCGUAGAUAUUGGGAGGAACACCAGUGGCGAAGGCGGCCACCUGGACCGGUUCUGACGCUGAGACACGAAAGCGUGGGUAGCAAACAGG